UACGGAGGGUGCGAGCGUUGUCCGGAAUCACUGGGCGUAAAGGGCGCGUAGGCGGCAUGGCAAGUGGAAGGUGAAAUCCCUCGGCUUAACCGAGGAACUGCCCUCCAAACUGCUUUGCUUGAGGCCGGGAGAGGUGAGUGGAAUUCCCAGUGUAGCGGUGAAAUGCGUAGAUAUUGGGAGGAACACCAGUGGCGAAGGCGGCUCACUGGACCGGUUCUGACGCUGAUGCGCGAAAGCGUGGGGAGCAAACGGG
This 253-nucleotide ribosomal RNA is filed under the name uncultured bacterium. Its description in RNAcentral is "partial 16S ribosomal RNA". It matches the Rfam family "Bacterial small subunit ribosomal RNA", at positions 524 to 776 of the family's 1533-position model. The record is from RNAcentral.